RNAcentral lists this unclassified non-coding RNA (1511 nucleotides) under Owenia fusiformis. RNAcentral describes it as "paraoxonase". The record is from RNAcentral. Lineage: Eukaryota; Metazoa; Annelida; Polychaeta; Sabellida; Oweniidae.
AAUGAGCCAUUCGGCUGAUAAUUGAUAGUGUCUGGACUUCAAGGUCAAUUAUCGUUUGAACCUAAAUCCCAAAAUAAAUAGUGCAGCCAAGACUAAAAGUCACAGAGAUUGCUUGGGUUCCACAAGCACGUGUACAAUCAUAGACCAGGGCCGUGCAGAGUGGUUCCGGGCAUAGGAGAGGGAUCUGAAGAUAUACAAACAUUAUCCGAUGGUCUUGCCAUUAUUUCUGGGGGUUUGAAAAGCUUCGAUGAUCCAUAUGGCAUUCCUGAUAAUAUAAACGGCAGCAUUUACUUGUUUGACUUCAAAAAUCCUGAAGCAAAUGUGAAAGAGUUAACCAUCAAAGGAGAUGCGUUCAACAAGAGAUCAUUUAACCCUCAUGGAAUAAGUGCAUAUGAGGAUCAUAAAUCAGGAAGAGUCUACUUGUUUGUGGUAAACCAUCCACCUGGGGGAGACCAGAUAGAAAAGUUUACAUUUGAUAGGAAAUCUACAAUAUUGACCCAUGUAAAGACUAUAAAACACGAGGCGUUCACCGCCAUGUUAAACGACAUCGUUGCUAUAGACGAGACGCAUCUUUACGCGACAAUGCCAGUUUACGUAAAGGGUAAAAUAGUCAUCCCAAGUAUGUUCUUAUAUCUGAGACUGGGAUUGGUUCUUCACAUUAACAUGGAUGAAGAAACUGUGGAAACUGUAGGGUCUGGGUAUAUGAUGCCCAAUGGAAUAAAUGCUUCUCCAGAUAAGAGACACAUUUACUUGUCAAAUAUGGGUGACAGGAACAUAGUCAUUUUAGAAAGGAAUUCAGACUUCUCCUUGACUGAAGUCAAGACAAUAGAACUCUAUUCAGCAAUAGACAAUAUUGAUGUGGACUCAUCAACAGGUGAUUUGUGGCUAGGUGACAUAGCUAUAUUUCAUAAGGCCAUGGCUUAUAUAUCUGGCCCUAAUAAUAAAGAUCCUGGGGUCAAACCCCCAGCAAGGGUGCUGCAGGUAAAGAUGUCUGGGAACACAGAGCCCAAAGAUAUUACAGAUGUCUUUGUAGAUGAUGAGCUGAUAUUAACUGGAAGUGUUGCUAAUAGAUACAAGAAUGCAAUGCUAGUUGGUAGUGUCAACCAUAACAUGGUCUACUGUCAACUUCAAACAAUUUAAUUGCCAGACCAACUCUCUCAAUCUCCGAGCCUUUCGUCCAGUGCAAUCGUACCUCCUGUGUAGUGAAGGUACGCAACGAACGAAAUGAAUUUUGAGAAUGUAACUCUCUCCCAAUAUGGUAGCUAGAAGCAAAACAGAAAAACAUUUUGAUAUGGUCGAUAUUGAUUGCUUAAAAAUGAAGAGCUCAAUUCCAGUAGGUUGCCAUCUUUUAAGAUUUCAAUCAAGAAGUGAUGUCACAUAUCAGUGAAUUGUAUUUCUGCUUUGAUUAUCAAGGCGAAGUUGCAACCCGAAACACUAAUAAAGGUGACAAAAAUUUAAAGAUGAAGUAAUAAGUACACUACAUUGACAUGUCUUCACUCUUUUGAUAAAUA